RNAcentral lists this long non-coding RNA (3220 nucleotides) under Sus scrofa (pig). RNAcentral describes it as "lncRNA (ENSSSCG00000053994.1)". The record is from RNAcentral. Lineage: Eukaryota; Metazoa; Chordata; Mammalia; Artiodactyla; Suidae.
AAUUUAUUCUUUUUCCUUACCUUUUAUUUUUCAAGCUUCUCUCAACUAUCUUCAUCUGACCUGUAAAGAGAAUAAGAUAUAGAAAAACAACAUUCUUUCUCGGGCUCCCAUCCACCACUGAACUCCCUUCAUUUCAAGACAAAAAAACAGUGACCGCAAGCAGGGACAAAAAGCAAGGGCACCAGGUUUCUCUUCCUUAUUAGAGAUGUUACCCUAGUAAGAUAGAAAAGAAUUUGGCAGUGGAAAAAAAGUAAGAGAUUUCUUUUGGUUGAUUUUUUUUUCUAAUGUAUUAUUGUUUAACUCCUUAUAAAUGAGAAGUUGUAUGUAAGAUAUUAAGCACAGUUCUUGGCAAAUAGCAGAUGGUCCAUACAUUAUCUCCUUUUAUUCUCUUUUCCACCCCAGGCUCUAAAACAAAUUAGGAGAGUUGGAAGCAGAUUCAUAGUAUGAACCUGUAUUUUCAUGACUUUGUUACCCAUUAGACAAAUUGAGUUUCACUUUCAUUGUUAUGCCAGUCAACAGGAACUAAUACAAGUUACUAUAGCCCCUGUUCUUUACAAAAUUUUUAUAGCUUUCACUUUCAUAUCUCAAAAGAAAAUAGAAAAAUAUUUAAAAUCCAGAAGGUUUCCAUUUUACUUUUGGUCACCUUGAAAAAUCUUAAGUGGGACCCUGCAAAAGUUAAUAGUCAUGUGGUAAGUCAUCCUUUCUAAAAAUAUUCCAGUUCUUCUCUUUGAGGACACUAGCAGAUGUCUAAAAAUCAUUGUAGGCAAUUACAUUUCAUUUAUGGACCAGCAUAUAAUAAAUAUUAAUCUUAAAUAAUUUAACAGAUGGAAAAUUAUAAAAUUGAAAUUUCUUGCAAAAUCACAUAACAGAAUUUUUAAAUUCAUUUUUAAUGAAUGUUAAAAAUGCUUUAAGAAAAUAGUAAACAAUGACCCACAUUCCCAAACGAAUAAAUACAGUAUACUUUUUAUCUCUAUGAGGGAUUACCUGAGCUUUCUAUAUGCCAACAGCUAAUCAGGUACAGUGAAGUGCAAUUUGGCUACCAAGAAAUAAUCUGCACAAAAUUUUUAAAACUUCGGCUAUUAUUUAAAGUGAAGCGUGAUUUAAUAGGCAUGUCCUUUGGAAACUCAAGUCUAAUGUCAGAUUAAAAUCAUUGUCAUUGGGGGGAAAUAUUUUAUACUGCUCCUUCUACUUACCUGCGCUAUAUAAUCUGCCCUUUGAAUGUAGAAAUGCUGACCCCCAAAGAAAUUUACCCACCCCAAUACCCUUUUACAAAGGUGUCUGUGCCGUGACAUUUCAGUUUCUUUCAUUCGAAACACAAAAUCAGAGUGGGGAUUAUGCUUUUCUGCAAUUCUAUAGCUCAAGUUUAAAGAAAAGUGAGCAGAUGUAUGGAAGUGUGCUAGCUAAUUUGGAGUUCCAACCUAAAGGGCCUGGGAUAUACCAUUUCAGUUUAACACCUAACUUUCCCCUUAUUCUUUCUUUUACUUUCAUUUAUUGAGUUUUCCAGAUGAGACAGCUAUUUGACACAGGUUAAAUUAUUUUUAGAGAACUUGGAAAUCAUUCCAAGAGUUAGUGGCAAGAAUGGCAUUUCCUUUGUUAGAAAUAGCAAAGAGGGUUUGGCUUCUCCUGGGCCUCUUUCACCUUGGUUUCUCCAGGACCUGGUAAUACAGAUGUAGCAAGAAUUUAAAAAAGCAUUUUGAUGAAGUGAACAAAUAAUAGCAACUGUCUACACUCUAGGAGUUAUGUGUGCAAUUCAGUUGAAAUAACUUUUCAUGGUUCUAUAAGAAAAAAAAAUCAAAGUAGCUGAGCUUUUAAAAUAGAUUUCAAAGCGAUUCCAAAAUUUUGACUCUUUUUUUGCUAAUCAUGCAGAAACUAUGUUCUACUUUUUCUGCUUAUAUUUUAGUUUUUCUAAAUAAAAAAAACACAAAAACCAAUCAUUAAGGUCUGGGAAAUACAUUUAAAAGCAGCAGCUAUCUCUUUUCUAUACUCUUUCAAAUACUGACAUGCUCUUUCAUCUCUAAAUCUUUUCUCAGGAUUAAGUGGAACACCAUUUAACCAUCCCUCAUUCUAAUGUUUAUGUGCAAAUGGCUCAUUUUGAAGAAAUUAAUUCACAUGAUGAACAUUAACAUUUUAGUAAUAUUCCUCCACUGGAUAUCUUGAAAAUACAUAGAAAAUUUCAUAAUACCUCUACUUCAAAAUAAUCUAAAAGUAUCUAUGAAAUAUAGUUUUAUUGCUGAGACUCCAUGAGAAAAGUUCAACAGUAGUCCAUCAAACAAAAAGAUUCAAGUGAAGAAUUGGAUAUUAAGUGCUUAAGUGUUGACAAUACUGGUCUUUUGAAAUGUAGAGUUUUGGUUGGUGAAUAAAAUUCCAUAUGUAAGAUCUGGAUGAAUUUGGUAGCUAGUUUUUAACAUGUAUUUGAUGAAUAAUGGAACCUGUAACUGAUUAGAUAUAUAAAUAGUCCAUUGGUAAUAUUUCAAAUCAUUUUAUUGAUUGAAAAAUGGCCUUUGUUAGUGUCACUUUUUAACCAUUACUUAAGAAUCAAUUUUCUAUAUUUUACCUCUCUCCUGAAUUUAUUAAUUCAUUUACAAAUAUUUAUUUUCUACAACACUAGAUACUAUUGGAGGCAUGGAAAAAAAAAUAGUGGUGAGCAAGAUGGAUGUAUCCCCUGCCCUCAUAAACCUACAGUCUAGUAUAUGAUAUUAGCCAAGGAGAACAAUGUUUUUAAAACACUUUUAGCUUUGCAGUGAAUUAUAUAGUUCAUCAAUCCUUUUAUAGGUCAUCAAUCCUUUUAUAGUUCUUUAAUCCUUUCCUAAGUCUAUUUCUCACAAAUUUGUUAAUUCUCCUAUAUUAAUACAUACUUUGAUAAAUCAAAUGUAUCUACCUAACCUUAAAAAAUCCACAUACCAGGUGUUAUUCUUAAUGCCACUACAGGAAAUGAAAUAUUUUUUUAAAAAACUCAUGAAAUAGCAUUUUACAUUUAUAAAAAAACUCUAUUAUUUUUGGAAUGUAAAAGGGAAGUCCACUUCAAAUCUGUUAUUGUAGCUCUAAUGGCAUGGAGAUUUAGGUAGGGAAGUAGAGAAAAAAAAGAUUUCUCUUAUUCUGAAAACUGUCAUGUUCCUUCAGCAUCCACUACUGUUAUCAGUGUUUCCUGGUGGAAGAGGAGUUUUUAGACAUUUUUUUAAGAAUCUGAUUUCAUAACAAGGCAAGUAAUUCCCUCAAGCAU